Molecule: long non-coding RNA, 423 nt
Filed under: Capsicum annuum
Lineage: Eukaryota; Viridiplantae; Streptophyta; Magnoliopsida; Solanales; Solanaceae
Description: long non-coding RNA (CANN_LNC020008)
Source: RNAcentral
AAUUGUACAAGCACCAGCAGUAGUAACAACACAUCUAGCGCUAGUAUUUACAAUCUGAUAAUUAGGAUUAGUACUAGUAAACAAAAUUUGGUUAGAUGUAUCUAUUCUAACCCUUCGGCAACUCAAGUCUCCAUUUGUAUCAGCUCUAAAAAUAUCCUUUACAGAUUCAGGAGGUUCUCAAAAUAGUUGCAUAGUAAUAGUAGUAUUCAUCCGUGCCAGUGCAUGAGCCAACUUAUUUUAUUCUCUGUACACAUGUUCCAGUAGCAGAUUACCUAGGUUAAGCAUCAGAUACCUGCAAUCAGACAUUAAGAAUGAAUCAUCCGAUGAUAGAUUAGAUAUAGUUUAAACAAUUGAAAGGCAAUUCACAUUAGUUUGUAGUGGUGUAAAACAGUGUUGAAUUGCAAUAUUCAGACCCAAAAGCAA